CCUUCGAUAGCUCAGUUGGUAGAGCGGUGGACUGUAGCGUUCGGAACAUUCAUUCAGUUAUCCAUAGGUCGCUGGUUCAAAUCCGGCUCGAAGGA
RNAcentral lists this transfer RNA (95 nucleotides) under Aedes aegypti (yellow fever mosquito). Its description in RNAcentral is "partial tRNA-OTHER". It matches the Rfam family "tRNA". Rfam says of the family: Transfer RNA (tRNA) molecules are approximately 80 nucleotides in length. Their secondary structure includes four short double-helical elements and three loops (D, anti-codon, and T loops). The record is from RNAcentral. Lineage: Eukaryota; Metazoa; Arthropoda; Insecta; Diptera; Culicidae.